GCAUCGGUGGUUCAGUGGUGGAAUGCUCGCCUGCCACUCGGGCGGCCCGGGUUCGAUUCCCGGUCGAUGCA
RNAcentral lists this transfer RNA (71 nucleotides) under Cordylochernes scorpioides. Its description in RNAcentral is "tRNA-Gly". It matches the Rfam family "tRNA". From Rfam's summary of the family: Transfer RNA (tRNA) molecules are approximately 80 nucleotides in length. Their secondary structure includes four short double-helical elements and three loops (D, anti-codon, and T loops). Further hydrogen bonds mediate the characteristic L-shaped molecular structure. tRNAs have two regions of fundamental functional importance: the anti-codon, which is responsible for specific mRNA codon recognition, and the 3' end, to which the tRNAs corresponding amino acid is attached (by aminoacyl-tRNA synthetases). tRNAs cope with the degeneracy of the genetic code in two manners: having more than one tRNA (with a specific anti-codon) for a particular amino acid; and 'wobble' base-pairing, i.e. permitting non-standard base-pairing at the 3rd anti-codon position. Lineage: Eukaryota; Metazoa; Arthropoda; Arachnida; Pseudoscorpiones; Chernetidae. The record is from RNAcentral.